This 301-nucleotide ribosomal RNA is filed under the name uncultured bacterium. Its description in RNAcentral is "partial 16S ribosomal RNA". It matches the Rfam family "Bacterial small subunit ribosomal RNA", at positions 509 to 807 of the family's 1533-position model. The record is from RNAcentral.
CAGUCGCCGCGGGAAUACGUAGGGUGCAAGCGUUAAUCGGAAUUACUGGGCGUAAAGCGUGCGCAGGCGGUUAUAUAAGACAGAUGUGAAAUCCCCGGGCUCAACCUGGGAACUGCAUUUGUGACUGUAUAGCUAGAGUACGGCAGAGGGGGAUGGAAUUCCGCGUGUAGCAGUGAAAUGCGUAGAUAUGCGGAGGAACACCGAUGGCGAAGGCAAUCCACUGGGCCUGUACUGACGCUCAUGCACGAAAGCGUGGGGAGCAAACAGGAUUAGAUACCCCUGUAGUCCCUGUCUCUUAUAC